GGGGGAUGUGUCUUUGUGGGUGCAUUGUUUCUUUUUAGUUGUUUUUGUUUGUGUCGUCGUUGAGUUGUUUAGUCUUGCUUUGGUGGUUUCUCUGUGAUGUUACCUUGAUGAAGAUGUGAGUAGUGUAGAGAUUGGUUAGAUAACUGGCUCAUGAUGAUUUCUGCUUUAAACUUGUGAAAUUGCAUGCGUUUGUGUUGAUAUUGUUGAGAUUGAGCAUGAGUGAUGAAUGAUAAGCGUGGUCUCUAUGUGUUUGCAAUCAAUGAAAUA
This 267-nucleotide long non-coding RNA is filed under the name Salvia miltiorrhiza (redroot sage). RNAcentral's name for it is "long non-coding RNA (SMIL_LNC013990)". Lineage: Eukaryota; Viridiplantae; Streptophyta; Magnoliopsida; Lamiales; Lamiaceae. The record is from RNAcentral.